AAAAAAAAAAAAAAAAUGGAUGGAAGACGGGUUAUCUUGCUUUGUUGAUGAAGUUCAACCAGACUUUAGAACCAAGCAUCUCUUAAAAUUAAAUUGUGUCAGCAAAAAGUUGAUGAGGGCGUUGGUCUGAGAGUCGGUGAACAUGUUGAACCGGUCCUCGAGACCGUCUACAGUCUCUCAAUGAUGAUGGCGCGUAGCCAAAACGUGUCUGAGCAACAACAGGUAGACCGGCGAGUGUAGACUGACCCAUUGUUUUGCCUGAUCUGCCAAUGGGUGGAAUUCUGUCUUAAAAUAUAUAAAAACGAGAGUACAAAACAUGGAGAAAUAAAGAGAGAGUGAGGUGAAAGGACAAGAAGCAAAAAAUGAGAUGGACAGAGAGAAGAUAAUGACAACUUUAUUUCAUAUGUAUUUACAUUAAAUUGCCUAUUGAAAUUUCUACCAUACAGAAUAAUUGAGCAA
Molecule: long non-coding RNA, 459 nt
Organism: Cimex lectularius (bed bug)
Lineage: Eukaryota; Metazoa; Arthropoda; Insecta; Hemiptera; Cimicidae
Exons: 3
Source: RefSeq, a predicted model, not a curated record